CGGGCGGCAACGGAACCAUCGACCCCUCUACGGAUCUCAGAACCAUAAUGGACUGCAGAGUGAUUAAAAAAAAUCUAAUUCAAAUCUUUCCAGUUUGGCCACCAUCCAGCAGAGGGCGCCGCUGAGUCCGCUAUCCUUAAGCGGAGCCGUUGAUACAGAAACAAAGACGGCGGAAGCCAUACCAGAACGGGAAAGAGAAACGAUGGAAGAGAGUGCAAUUCUGUUUGAAAUAAAUACUCUACAAUCUC
Molecule: long non-coding RNA, 248 nt
Organism: Xiphophorus maculatus (southern platyfish)
Lineage: Eukaryota; Metazoa; Chordata; Actinopteri; Cyprinodontiformes; Poeciliidae
Exons: 2
Source: RefSeq, a predicted model, not a curated record